Molecule: ribosomal RNA, 253 nt
Filed under: uncultured bacterium
Lineage: Bacteria
Description: partial 16S ribosomal RNA
Rfam family: Bacterial small subunit ribosomal RNA
Source: RNAcentral
UACGUAGGGUGCGAGCGUUAAUCGGAAUUACUGGGCGUAAAGCGUGCGCAGGCGGCUUUGCAAGACAGAUGUGAAAUCCCCGGGCUCAACCUGGGAACUGCAUUUGUGACUGCAAGGCUAGAGUACGGCAGAGGGGGAAGGAAUUCCGCGUGUAGCAGUGAAAUGCGUAGAUAUGCGGAGGAACACCAAUGGCGAAGGCAAUCCCCUGGGCCUGUACUGACGCUCAUGCACGAAAGCGUGGGGAGCAAACAGG